RNAcentral lists this unclassified non-coding RNA (390 nucleotides) under Hevea brasiliensis (rubber tree). Lineage: Eukaryota; Viridiplantae; Streptophyta; Magnoliopsida; Malpighiales; Euphorbiaceae. The record is from RNAcentral.
GCAUUUGCAGCGAAAACGUAUCUGCAGAUUCAAUUUGUAUUAAAAUUUAGUUUAAAAGAAACUGAAGAGUAGUAAUGCUUAGUUCGGUUGCUAAGAAAAUGAAGGAAUGGAAAGGAAAAUUUGAUUUUAAAAAAAUAUAUAUAUUAUGGAUUAUUAAUGUCUGACACCACAGUUUACAGCUUUAAGGUGAUUUAAAAUUGAAAAUGACAAUAGCGGGAACAAAAAGAAUUUGAAUUAAAGGAAAAUUUUUAAAAUUUUGAAAACCCAAAGGUCCAGAAACGUGAGGAAACAUUUUCUGAGCAACCAAACAGGGACGAGGAAGGAAUUUUACAAAGGAAAAAGAAUAGAAGGCAUAGAUUUUGAUACCUGAAAGCGUCGAAAUCAUACCAA